This 75-nucleotide small RNA is filed under the name Xanthomonas campestris pv. incanae. RNAcentral's name for it is "sX9 sRNA". It matches the Rfam family "Xanthomonas sRNA sX9". The record is from RNAcentral. Lineage: Bacteria; Pseudomonadati; Pseudomonadota; Gammaproteobacteria; Lysobacterales; Lysobacteraceae. RNAcentral also lists the same sequence under 1 other name.
AUGUACCCACGUACACUCCGGUUCCUCCGCGCCGUCCGCACUCACCUGACGACUGCUCGCUACGUUUUGUUUGCC